GAAGAGUUUCUUUCCCUGUCCUCAGC
Molecule: non-coding RNA, 26 nt
Filed under: Mus musculus (house mouse)
Lineage: Eukaryota; Metazoa; Chordata; Mammalia; Rodentia; Muridae
Source: RNAcentral